This 253-nucleotide ribosomal RNA is filed under the name [Lactobacillus] rogosae. Its description in RNAcentral is "Lactobacillus rogosae partial 16S ribosomal RNA". It matches the Rfam family "Bacterial small subunit ribosomal RNA", at positions 524 to 776 of the family's 1533-position model. Lineage: Bacteria; Bacillati; Bacillota; Clostridia; Lachnospirales; Lachnospiraceae. The record is from RNAcentral.
UACGUAUGGAGCAAGCGUUAUCCGGAUUUACUGGGUGUAAAGGGAGUGUAGGUGGCCAGGCAAGUCAGAAGUGAAAGCCCGGGGCUCAACCCUGGGACUGCUUUUGAAACUGCAGGGCUAGAGUGCAGGAGGGGCAAGUGGAAUUCCUAGUGUAGCGGUGAAAUGCGUAGAUAUUAGGAGGAACACCAGUGGCGAAGGCGGCUUGCUGGACUGUAACUGACACUGAGGCUCGAAAGCGUGGGGAGCAAACAGG